Molecule: long non-coding RNA, 404 nt
Filed under: Rattus norvegicus (Norway rat)
Lineage: Eukaryota; Metazoa; Chordata; Mammalia; Rodentia; Muridae
Description: long non-coding RNA NONRATT003607
Source: RNAcentral
GAAAAUUUAUCAAAGGACCUGUACUUGAUAUCUCAAAUGGAUAGCGAUCAGUUCGUCCCAAUAUGGACAAUUGCCAACAUGGAAGAAAUAAAAAAAUUGACUACUGAUCCAGACUUAAUUCUUGAAGUAUUGAGAUCUUCCCCUAUGGUACAAGUUGAUGAAGGGAGAAAAGGUGAGACCAAGUCAUAAGCGCUGUAUUGUGAUUCUCAGAGAAAUUCCUGAGACGACACCUGUAGAGGAAGUGAAAGCUUUGUUUAAAAAUGAAAACUGCCCCAAAGUGAUAAGCUGUGAGUUUGCACACAACAGCAACUGGUAUAUCACUUUCCAGUCAGACACAGACGCACAGCAGGCUUUUAAAUACUUACGAGAAGAAGUUAAAACGUUUCAGGGCAAGCCAAUUAUGG